Molecule: unclassified non-coding RNA, 397 nt
Filed under: Hevea brasiliensis (rubber tree)
Lineage: Eukaryota; Viridiplantae; Streptophyta; Magnoliopsida; Malpighiales; Euphorbiaceae
Source: RNAcentral
AAAAUUGAAAGAACACUGUCUACCGUCUAAUUCGAAUCUCAAGUCAUUUUCCCUCACAGAAACAAUCAACAUCUCUAAGCCCUGGGAAACUCACAUGGCUGUGAAAGCUUUCUUUCCACCACCAGAAGAUCCAGCUGGAAUCACUUUUAAAACAUUGAACCUCACUGUCUUGGACAAAGGCCUGCAUUGGCCAAUAAUAACAUGAUCUCCCUCUUUCACACGGAAGCAUGGGGAUAUGUGUGCUGGAAUAUUAGAGUGCCGCUUCUCAUACCUCUGGUAUUUUUUAAUAAAAUGAAGGUAAUUGCGUCUAACAAUGAUGGUCCUCAUCAUCUUUGCACUGUGACAAGUGCCAGCAAGUAUGCGGCCUCUGAUAGAAACAGUACCAGUAAAUGGGCAC